This 410-nucleotide ribosomal RNA is filed under the name Zenopontonia soror. Its description in RNAcentral is "partial 12S ribosomal RNA". Lineage: Eukaryota; Metazoa; Arthropoda; Malacostraca; Decapoda; Palaemonidae. The record is from RNAcentral.
UGAAACCAGGAUUAGAUACCCCACUAUUCUAAGAAUAAAAUGUUUUACUUGAUUAUUAAUUGCUAUGUUCUUGAAAUUUAGAGAAUUUGGCGGUAUUUAAGUCUAGUUAGAGGAACCUGCUUCUUAAAACGAUAAUCCACGAAGUAUCUUAUUUUCUUUUGUCAUUCAGUUUGUAUACCUCCAUUAUUAGGUGUAGCUAAAAAGCUUUUACUUAAAUAUAAUAAAUUUAUAAUAUAUUAGGUCAAGGUGCAGCCUAUAAGAAAAUUGAUUGUGGGUUACAUUUUUAUUUAAACUCGGAUAGAAGAAUCAAAUUUCUUUUUGAAGCUGGAUUUAAUUGUAAAUUUAAUUUAAUAUGUUAAAUUGAUAUUAGCUCUUAAAUAUGUACACAUCGCCCGUCGCUCGCGGGAAAA